Molecule: ribosomal RNA, 467 nt
Filed under: uncultured bacterium
Lineage: Bacteria
Description: partial 16S ribosomal RNA
Rfam family: Bacterial small subunit ribosomal RNA
Source: RNAcentral
GACGAACGCUGGCGGCGUGCUUAACACAUGCAAGUCGAACGGAAAGGCCCUGCUUUUGUGGGGUGCUCGAGUGGCGAACGGGUGAGUAACACGUGAGUAACCUGCCCUUGACUUUGGGAUAACUUCAGGAAACUGGGGCUAAUACCGGAUAGGAGCUCCUGCUGCAUGGUGGGGGUUGGAAAGUUUCGGCGGUUGGGGAUGGACUCGCGGCUUAUCAGCUUGUUGGUGGGGUAGUGGCUUACCAAGGCUUUGACGGGUAGCCGGCCUGAGAGGGUGACCGGCCACAUUGGGACUGAGAUACGGCCCAGACUCCUACGGGAGGCAACAGUGGGGAAUAUUGCACAAUGGGCGGAAGCCGGAUGCAGCAACGCCGCGUGCGGGAUGACGGCCUUCGGGUGGUAAACCGCUUUCGCCUGUGACGAAGCGUGAGUGACGGUAAUGGGUAAAGAAGCACCGGCUAACUACGU